GUCGUGGCAGGCACUUUUAGGCCUGGUGGGUGUGGCCCUGCCAGCUGACCGGUCCCACCCAGGAAUCCACACACACCUGGCGCCGAUCAAGCCUCGUCAGAGGAGCUUCAAAACAGUGUGGCUGAGAGCUCCUCGACGCUGGAUUGUUGAGUGACUUCCCGAGGAAUUGUGGCGACCAGGAGGCAGCACACGGAGAGUACACAGGGAACGGAGACAGAGCACGGAGCACGGGAUAAAGGAGAAGACACGGAACGGGAGUUGGGAUCGCACGGGGGGAUUUAUUGUUGUUCGGAUUGUCACCACUGUAAAUAAACACUGUUGCACUGUA
This is a long non-coding RNA of Maylandia zebra (zebra mbuna), 328 nucleotides long. RefSeq lists it as uncharacterized. The record is from RefSeq and is a predicted model, not a curated record. Lineage: Eukaryota; Metazoa; Chordata; Actinopteri; Cichliformes; Cichlidae.